CCUACGGGCGGCAGCAGUGGGGAAUAUUGGACAAUGGGGGCAACCCUGAUCCAGCCAUGCCGCGUGUGUGAAGAAGGCCCUCGGGUUGUAAAGCACUUUCAGUGAGGAAGAACGCCUGGUGGUUAAUACCCAUCAGGAAAGACAUCACUCACAGAAGAAGCACCGGCUAACUCCGUGCCAGCAGCCGCGGUAAUACGGAGGGUGCGAGCGUUAAUCGGAAUUACUGGGCGUAAAGCGCGCGUAGGUGGCUUGAUAAGCCGGUUGUGAAAGCCCCGGGCUCAACCUGGGAACGGCAUCCGGUACUGUCAAGCUAGAGUGCAGGAGAGGAAGGUAGAAUUCCCGGUGUAGCGGUGAAAUGCGUAGAGAUCGGGAGGAAUACCAGUGGCGAAGGCGGCCUUCUGGACUGACACUGACACUGAGGUGCGAAAGCGUGGGUAGCAAACAGGAUUAGAUACCCUUGUAGUC
RNAcentral lists this ribosomal RNA (465 nucleotides) under Vreelandella stevensii. RNAcentral describes it as "partial 16S ribosomal RNA". It matches the Rfam family "Bacterial small subunit ribosomal RNA", at positions 338 to 795 of the family's 1533-position model. The record is from RNAcentral. Lineage: Bacteria; Pseudomonadati; Pseudomonadota; Gammaproteobacteria; Oceanospirillales; Halomonadaceae.